UGGAUCUGUACAAUAAACAACAUAUCUAAACAAAUAUACUUAAGUGAAAAUCCAGAGGAAACUGCUGCACGAGUAAAUCAAUCAGCUCUGGAAGCUGUCACUCCUUCCCCAUCUUUCCAGCAGAGGCACGAGAGCCUGCGGCCAGCAGCAGGACAAUCUCGGCCACCGACAGCUCGAACCAGCAGUUCAGGAUCCUUAGGAUCUGAGUCUACAAAUUUGGCUGCCCUCUCUCUAGAUUCUCUUGUUGCCCCAGACACCCCAAUACAGUUUGACAUAAUUUCUCCUGUGUGUGAAGAUCAGCCUGGCCAGGCAAAAGCCUUUGGCCAGGGAGGCAGGCGUACAAAUCCAUUUGGAGAAUCUGGAGGAAGUACAAAAUCUGAAACUGAAGAUUCUAUUCUUCAUCAGUUAUUUAUUGUCCGAUUCCUUGGUUCAAUGGAGGUGAAAUCAGAUGACCAUCCAGAUGUUGUUUAUGAAACUAUGCGCCAAAUCUUAGCUGCCCGGGCCAUCCAUAACAUCUUUCGUAUGACAGAAUCGCAUUUAUUAGUCACUUGUGACUGUUUAAAGUUAAUUGAUCCACAGACACAAGUUACAAGGCUCACAGUGAGUUCCGCAUGAUUUAAGCUUUGUUUUAGGUCCCUUUGUAUAUAUACACAUCUUACAACUUGAUAAUAAUCCUGAUCCUGUAUAUUCAAGUGUGAUAGUAUCAGCUAUGAUUGGUCUUUGGCUGUUGUAGUUAAGUCUAUGGCCAUCUCCAAAAAGUUGUCAUUGAACAUUUUAUGUAACUUAAAAGAAUUAACACAAUUCUUUUUGUAAUUUUUUUAACACAGUUCUUUUUGACGUUGUAAAAUGUGUUAAUGACUAAUAAAACAAAUGUAAUAUUCAACAA
This 886-nucleotide small RNA is filed under the name Pan troglodytes (chimpanzee). RNAcentral's name for it is "retained intron". Lineage: Eukaryota; Metazoa; Chordata; Mammalia; Primates; Hominidae. The record is from RNAcentral.